GUUUGGCGUUGCAGCUGUGUGGGCGCUGGUGCGUGCGAGUAGCGCUCGAAGAAACCCAAAGGCGUCGUGGGGCUGCCGUGUGCCCCAGAGAGCACUGCAGGCCGGGUAGGGGCUAAGGCUCCCCGCAGUCUUCUGUGUGUCGUCCAGUACGCAGUUGAAAUCGUUCUCCAACCUGGCCAGUCCUCCGAGGCCCUUCUCAGGCGACCAGACUCUGUUAACAGAGUCCAUUGCUAAAACUCCUCGUUAGUAUUUACCACUCCUCCAGUCUGUGUUUUGAAGCAGUGGUUUUCAACCACUGCCCGUUUUCAGAAGAAAUCAUCUCAAGCGUCCGUGUGCUGCUAGAAGCCGGGCCGGGAGGUCUUGGUGCCGGACUCCACCCUGCAGCCCUUCCCUUUCGCCACCGCCCUGUGCUUAGAGAAACCUUAGAGUGGAGCAAUGAGUCGCCCUUGACUGAGUAACUCUUCGGGGUCAACUUCUCCUUCCACGCCAAGGAAAGGAUUCCAGGGCGAUGUUUCUGGAAAUAGAGAUCUGACCAAGCCACUGCUCUGGUGAAAAUUCAGUGGGUCCCUAGCACCUAGUGCAGCGGCUCCUAGCCUGAGUAUUGCCGUCUUUCGGUGGGGAGGGGUUGGGUUUUUUUGUAGCAUCUGUUGAUCUGAUCUCCAACAUCCUCCACGUCAAUUCCCACUCCACCCACAUCCCUUAUCCUAUACGUAAGCUUUCCAGCCACGGUGCUGGCUUGGGUGGGGGUGCGUGCGGUGCUGACACCAAAAUGGAGGUCCCGUGUUUCUGAGAGUCUCUUUCAGAGCAAUGCAAACCUGAAACUACUCCUGCCAAGAAACGAUUGCAGCUCUUCCCGGAAAAGUUAAAGCCUUUGAGAAACAAAGCUGAGGUUGAAAGUAUUAGUCCAUUUUAUAGAUGAAGAAAUGGAGGCCCAGAGAGAUCACGUGACUUAGCCAAGUCCACCAACUAAUAUUGGGAAGCUCAGCAGGGUCCUGGGGGCCCACAGGAAUGUGAAUAAACACGCUUGGAAAGUCUGCAGAAUUUCCAGUCCUAGCCUCCUGCUGGUGUGAACCUGGGCUCCUGUGCCUGGGACCCUGGGAGGGCCUAGGGGAUGCCAAAUUCCAGGGUCCAGAAAGAGCUUGGGAUAAAAUGAACAUCCAAGGGGAGGGCUUUGACCUGGGCUGAGUCUGCCUGUGCCGAGUCUGCCUGUGCCAUCCAACUGGAGUCUCAAGUCCUGAGGCAGGACGUCCAGAUGCCCCAGUGCAGGGUCCUCCUGAUCAACACCUGCUCCCCUGUACUCAUUAGCAACCUCACCCACCCUACUCUCAAAGCACACUUGGCUCUCAUAUCCAGGAGCUCUGCAUCUGUAGAUUCAGCAACAGCAGAUGGAAAAUAUUCAGAAAAUAAAUUGGACAGUUAUAUUUCUAUUGAA
Molecule: long non-coding RNA, 1432 nt
Filed under: Homo sapiens (human)
Lineage: Eukaryota; Metazoa; Chordata; Mammalia; Primates; Hominidae
Description: uncharacterized LOC100996660, transcript variant 3 (LOC100996660)
Source: RNAcentral